Long non-coding RNA from Phasianus colchicus (ring-necked pheasant), 241 nucleotides. RefSeq lists it as uncharacterized. The record is from RefSeq and is a predicted model, not a curated record. Lineage: Eukaryota; Metazoa; Chordata; Aves; Galliformes; Phasianidae.
GGGGGCUGAGGAGCGGGCGGCGCUGUGCUGCGGGCGCUGGGGAGCGUGAGGGAUUGUCGCGGCUGUGACACCCGCGGUCAAAAUGAAGAUGUUAAAGCAGAAUUAUUAUCCAAAAGCUGAAGGCCGAUGAAACAAACCUUCAUCUAAGGAGUUCACAGAACCAUUUUCUCUCCAAGUUGCUGGUUAUGAAGGUGGAGAUCAGCCAGUUGUGUUCCAAGCUUUGAUGAAUGCCUAGAAACAA